This 235-nucleotide long non-coding RNA is filed under the name Capsicum annuum. Its description in RNAcentral is "long non-coding RNA (CANN_LNC020659)". The record is from RNAcentral. Lineage: Eukaryota; Viridiplantae; Streptophyta; Magnoliopsida; Solanales; Solanaceae.
GGCUAUUCAGCCAGCUGGUGUUCAUGGAUAGUGCUAUGCUAUAGCUACUAGACCAGAGUUAGAGGCGUCCUAUGAUAUCAUUCCUCAUUUGAUUUAGACCAACAUUUAUACUAUUUCAUUUGAGAUCAUCUUUCAGUAACGUGUCUGCAUACUUUUCUUUGGGUUUUGAUUUAGUUUGUGAGCCACUCGAUGUGCUAUUCAUGUAUUUACACCCUUAUGAGACUUUUUAGUGAUG